Molecule: long non-coding RNA, 1316 nt
Organism: Mangifera indica (mango)
Lineage: Eukaryota; Viridiplantae; Streptophyta; Magnoliopsida; Sapindales; Anacardiaceae
Exons: 4
Source: RefSeq, a predicted model, not a curated record
GUUUAACGCCUUGGUUUCCUUUUGAGGUUGUAUUUGUUGAGCUUGCCGGAUGUGAGGCUCAGAGACAUUUGGAUCAGAUGAAGCAUGAUCUACGCUCAGCGUCUAUUCCAAACAUGCAGACCAUUCAGUUUCCUCAUUCUUGCAAAAGUUUAUUUGAGGCCUUUCCAAGGCCCUUGCUGAAAAAUCAUGCAACUUUGUUAGGUUUUACAUGGUUACAUCUUGUCCUUAAUGAGUUGAAAUCAGGAAGUUCCCCUGUACUUAUAUAACUGUUGGUGUUUCCUCAUGAUUUAGUUGGUAGUGGAAAUUGGCAGAGCUCUUAUUCUCCCUGCCUCAGCUAAAUUAUGCCUACCAAAUGUCCAACCAAGUGAACUCAGUGUAGCAGGGAGUUGGGUUUUAUUCUAAGUCUUAUCAAGUUUAUCAAAAUAUCCAAUACCUAGAGAACCUACUCGUUAUGGAAAUUAUUCAAUGAGAGAAGCUUUGUUCCUAGUGACUGGACCAAAUACUGUGAGAGUUAUGGUGCAUCUUCUGGGGUUAGAAUUAAUACUUACCAAAGCUAUGCAAUUGCUGACCCCUACAGAAAACCUAGUUGUUGGAUGGAUCCUCGUAGGACUACCAUGGUUGAACCCUCUCCAAUGGGAAGCAUGAUGAUUCUCUUAUUACAGCUUUGAUGGACAAUUUACUCCUACUGGAUUCCCUCAAGUUGAUCUACAGGCUCUAAGAGCACCCAUAAUUUCACCUACUGCACAGCCUUCCAUUAAUGAUUCACAUUAUUGACCACCACUGAUGAGACUUUCAUAUGGAAGUUUUCUUGGUGAUAUGCAACAUUCUAUAAGAAAUGACCCCCACAAUGCAAGACCCAAAAUUCUACUUUAUUAUUGAUGGGAGAGAGAAAGGGAGAAAGAAAGGUAGAUUUGGUUUCCUAUCAAUAUUCGACCAACCUAACUCUCAAUCUCAGUUAAAGAACCGAAGAGGUACAAUACUUUCCAUUUCUUAUCAAAAAAUGCCCUUUUAUUUGUGGAUAGCCAGCUUAUCUUUAUGCAGAUCAUGUGCCUAGUAAGACAUCUAUGCUCGCUUGUUGAUCCAAUAUGCAAAUAUUUUAGCCUCCCUUUUAAUUUUAUUUAGGCAACUAGAAAUGUCGUUUGUAUUUUUGGAAAUCCCAAGUGAACUAAAAUGUCUAAUCCAGUUAAUUAAAAUUGCUGCAAUAUCGACUUUGAUUCAUUUUCUUUAUAGGACUCUUAAGUCUUAAUCAUCUUGUCUAAACUGUUACACUUUAAGAAAAUGAUAAUCCAUUAUUGUGUAGAUGAUUUUAAAGUUUA